CAACCNNCCGCUUACUCGGGGAUAGCCUUUCGAAAGAAAGAUUAAUACCCGAUGGUAUAAAGAGUUCGCANGUUCUCUUUAUUAAAGAAUUUCGGUAAGCGAUGGGGANGCGUUCCAUUAGAUAGUUGGCGGGGUAACGGCCCACCAAGUCUACGAUGGAUAGGGGUUCUGAGAGGAAGGUCCCCCACAUUGGAACUGAGACACGGUCCAAACUCCUACGGGAGGCAGCAGUGAGGAAUAUUGGUCAAUGGACGCGAGUCUGAACCAGCCAAGUAGCGUGAAGGAUGACUGCCCUAUGGGUUGUAAACUUCUUUUAUAUGGGAAUAAAGUUGUCCACGUGUGGAUUUUUGUAUGUACCAUAUGAAUAAGGAUCGGCUAACUCCGUGCCAGCAGCCGCGGUAAUACGGAGGAUCCGAGCGUUAUCCGGAUUUAUUGGGUUUAAAGGGGGCGUAGAUGGAUGUUUAAGUCAGUUGUGAAAGUUUGCGGCUCAACCGUAAAAUUGCAGUUGAUACUGGAUAUCUUGAGUGCAGUUGAGGCAGGCGGAAUUCGUGGUGUAGCGGUGAAAUGCUUAGAUAUCACGAAGAACUCCGAUUG
Molecule: ribosomal RNA, 594 nt
Filed under: uncultured Bacteroidota bacterium
Lineage: Bacteria; Pseudomonadati; Bacteroidota
Description: bacterial SSU rRNA
Rfam family: Bacterial small subunit ribosomal RNA
Source: RNAcentral